Molecule: ribosomal RNA, 312 nt
Filed under: Prevotellaceae bacterium
Lineage: Bacteria; Pseudomonadati; Bacteroidota; Bacteroidia; Bacteroidales; Prevotellaceae
Description: bacterial SSU rRNA
Rfam family: Bacterial small subunit ribosomal RNA
Source: RNAcentral
GCUUGCUUUUGAUGGGCGUCGACCGGCGCACGGGUGAGUAACGCGUAUCCAACCUGCCCAUCACUUGGGAAUAACCUUGCUAAAGUAAGACUAAUGCCCAAUGAUAUCCCACUAAGGCAUCCGAAUGGGAUUAAAGAUUUAUCGGUGAUGGAUGGGGAUGCGUCUGAUUAGCUUGUUGGCGGGGUAACGGCCCACCAAGGCAACGAUCAGUAGGGGUUCUGAGAGGAAGGUCCCCCACUUUGGAACUGAGACACGGUCCUACUCCUACGGGAGGCACAGUGAGGAAUAUUGGUCAAUGGGCGAGAGCCUGAA